RNAcentral lists this small RNA (616 nucleotides) under Drosophila ananassae. Its description in RNAcentral is "GF28208". The record is from RNAcentral. Lineage: Eukaryota; Metazoa; Arthropoda; Insecta; Diptera; Drosophilidae.
UUCGACCCAGCUCGGCAUAACUAAAUCAACAGUGAAAAUGUUCGGAGCAAAAUAUUUUUGCUAGAAGCUGGGGAAGAACCAUGGGGUUCUAAGAUUUCGGUGCAGUGCGAGGCUUUUCUGGAAGAUUUUAGACGCCGCAUCGUAGCCUCAUGACUUGCCCACACUGGCCGGUCUUUUAAAUGGCCGGAUUAAAAUAUAUUUCUUAUGCUAGAGCAGAAGAGCCAGACUUGAACACUCUAUUUUCUUCAUGCGAGGCAGGACUUUGCAGCUCAGUUUCCGGAAUUUCAGGACAGGAAACGAAUCUCCGCCGCAGGCAAUAGACGUCUCUUGAAGACUGUGCCACUUACAGACUCUCGAUUUGUCUGGGAAUCUUCUCUUCUUGGCCUAAAACCCUCUGAUGGUCGUGAUGACGGUUCCUGGGAUUAUGAUCUUCACAGCCUUGGGACAAAUCGAGCAUGGAAUACAGCAUUGAAUCCUCGCACUCCAGUUAAGCUGCAGCUUAAUUGGGAUCCGAGGAUUCGUGGAAUUCCAAAGGUUCGGCAAACAGCUGGAACCGAACUCCCUGGUAUUAUUCUACUACAAAAUAAAUAGAUUUUUCUCUUAAUGUUUUUAUCAA